This 381-nucleotide ribosomal RNA is filed under the name uncultured bacterium. RNAcentral describes it as "bacterial SSU rRNA". It matches the Rfam family "Bacterial small subunit ribosomal RNA", at positions 30 to 410 of the family's 1533-position model. The record is from RNAcentral.
AUUGAACGCUGGCGGCAUGCCUAACACAUGCAAGUCGAACGGUAACAGGCCCUUCGGGGUGCUGACGAGUGGCGGAUGGGUGAGUAAUACUUAGGAAUCUACCCUGUAGUGGGGGACGAACCCGGGGAAACUCGGGCUAAUACCGCAUACGCUCUACGGAGGAAAGCGGGGGACCGGCAAGGCCUCGCGCUAUUGGAUGAGCCUAAGCCCGAUUAGCUAGUUGGUGGGGUAAUAGCCUACCAAGGCAAUGAUCGGUAGCUGGUCUGAGAGGACGACCAGCCACACUGGGACUGAGACACGGCCCAGACUCCUACGGGAGGCAGCAGUGGGGAAUAUUGGACAAUGGGCGAAGCCUGAUCCAGCGAUGCCGCGUGUGUGAAG